UAGGGAAUCUUCCGCAAUGGGCGAAAGCCUGACGGAGCAACGCCGCGUGAGUGAUGAAGGUCUUCGGAUCGUAAAACUCUGUUAUUAGGGAAGAACAAAUGUGUAAGUAACUAUGCACGUCUUGACGGUACCUAAUCAGAAAGCCACGGCUAACUACGUGCCAGCAGCCGCGGUAAUACGUAGGUGGCAAGCGUUAUCCGGAAUUAUUGGGCGUAAAGCGCGCGUAGGCGGUUUUUUAAGUCUGAUGUGAAAGCCCACGGCUCAACCGUGGGGGGUCAUUGGAAACUGGAAAACUUGAGUGCAGAAGAGGAAAGUGGAAUUCCAUGUGUAGCAGUGAAAUGCGCAGAGAUAUGGAGGAACACCAGUGGCGAAGGCGACUUUCUGGUCUGUAACUGACGCUGAUGUGCGAAAGCGGGGGGAUCAAACAGG
This 429-nucleotide ribosomal RNA is filed under the name Actinomycetes bacterium. Its description in RNAcentral is "Actinobacteria bacterium partial 16S ribosomal RNA". It matches the Rfam family "Bacterial small subunit ribosomal RNA", at positions 355 to 776 of the family's 1533-position model. The record is from RNAcentral. Lineage: Bacteria; Bacillati; Actinomycetota; Actinomycetes.